ACCUGGGAUGGCUCAGUAGGUAGAUCAUGAGACUCUUAAUUUCAGGAUCGUGGGUUCAAGCCCCACAUUGGGCA
Molecule: non-coding RNA, 74 nt
Organism: Podarcis lilfordi (Lilford's wall lizard)
Lineage: Eukaryota; Metazoa; Chordata; Lepidosauria; Squamata; Lacertidae
Source: the annotation of a GenBank genome assembly